Molecule: ribosomal RNA, 428 nt
Filed under: Amaurobius pavesii
Lineage: Eukaryota; Metazoa; Arthropoda; Arachnida; Araneae; Amaurobiidae
Description: partial 16S ribosomal RNA
Source: RNAcentral
UCUGCUCAAUGAUUUUAAAUAGCCGCAAUUAUAUUGUGCUAAGGUAGCAUAAUCAUUUGUCUUUUAAUUAAAGACUAGAAUAAACGAUUUUACAUUUAAUUUAUUUUUUUUAAUUUAAAUUUUAAACUUUUUUUAAAUAUAAAAAAAUAUUUAUACAAAAAAAAGACAAAAAGACCCUAUUAAACUUUACUAAAGUUAAACUGGGGAAGUUAAUUAAUUAUUAUUUUAAUUUACAUAUUUUUUAUAAUCUAAUAUUAUUAAUAAAAAUAAGUUACUAUAGGGAUAACAGCGUAAAAUUUUUUAAAGAUCUUAUUUAAAAAAAAAAUUACGACCUCGAUGUUGAAUUAUUUUUUCUUAAAAAAGCAAAAAUUUUUAAAGAAAGUCUGUUCGACUUUUAAUUAUUUACAUGAUCUGAGUUCAAACCGGAG